AGUAGAAUGACUGAGAUAUAGGUGAAAGAUUGUAAAUCUUUUAAGGGGUGUUAACUCUUCUACUA
Molecule: transfer RNA, 65 nt
Filed under: Panesthia strelkovi
Lineage: Eukaryota; Metazoa; Arthropoda; Insecta; Blattodea; Blaberidae
Description: tRNA-Tyr
Source: RNAcentral